GUGAAAAUAAGAAACUUAUCGAACAAACCUGUGUGGGAAACAGGAACUGCCGAGGGCAGUAA
Molecule: non-coding RNA, 62 nt
Submitted as: unclassified sequences
Source: Rfam